This 60-nucleotide ribosomal RNA is filed under the name Diglyphus bimaculatus. RNAcentral's name for it is "partial 5.8S ribosomal RNA". Lineage: Eukaryota; Metazoa; Arthropoda; Insecta; Hymenoptera; Eulophidae. The record is from RNAcentral.
AAUGAUUACCCUGAACGGUGGAUCACUUGGCUCGUGGUGAUCAGCAUCGCACGCCGUCGA